GAGAGAUACGGAGGUAGAGCACUGAAUGUCCUAGGGGGUAUUGCACCUACCGAAGACUAUCAAACUCCGAAUGCCGUCAUCUUAUACUUGGGAGUCAGACUGUGGGGGAUAAGAUUCAUAGUCGAAAGGGCAACAGCCCAGAUCGUCAGCUAAGGUCCCUAAAUGUAAGUUAAGUGGUAAAGGAUGUGGGAUUGCACAGACAACCAGGAUGUUGGCUUAGAAGCAGCCACUCAUUCAAAGAGUGCGUAAUAGCUCACUGGUCGAGUGAUCCUGCGCCGAAGAUUUCCGGGGCUAAA
Molecule: ribosomal RNA, 296 nt
Filed under: Clostridioides difficile
Lineage: Bacteria; Bacillati; Bacillota; Clostridia; Peptostreptococcales; Peptostreptococcaceae
Description: partial 23S ribosomal RNA
Rfam family: Bacterial large subunit ribosomal RNA
Source: RNAcentral